RNAcentral lists this long non-coding RNA (258 nucleotides) under Triticum aestivum (bread wheat). RNAcentral's name for it is "long non-coding RNA (TAES_LNC004542)". The record is from RNAcentral. Lineage: Eukaryota; Viridiplantae; Streptophyta; Magnoliopsida; Poales; Poaceae.
GUAUGAUACUAUUUCGACUUCCUGCGAUGUCGAUGAAGAAACAAAUUGACCUACGAGGUAAGACAGCUCCCCAACAUUUUGCACACGGAAAACCUUGUCACAUAGGUUGAGAAAACCCCCCGCAAAAAAAAAAAAAAAACAUAGGUUGAGAAAACCCUCAAACCCUUGUCUCACUCUUACACUGCGGCAUCGUGACCUGUGUGAGAACCAACAACUAGGCCAUGCCUUAGGCCCGUGAUUGUCGCAAGGGACCGAUGA